This is a long non-coding RNA of Leptinotarsa decemlineata (Colorado potato beetle), 115 nucleotides long. NCBI's taxonomy places the organism in Eukaryota, Metazoa, Arthropoda, Insecta, Coleoptera, Chrysomelidae. The record is from RefSeq and is a predicted model, not a curated record.
CUGUUGGAAUCAUGUGGCCUAAUGUUCUUCAUAUAAUCGGACCGACGAAGUAUCCAAUUUUUGCAGAAUUAUCUUUCAGAUCAGCACUUGUUUUUCUAACAUUUAUUUUGGCCGU